CUGGAAGCUCUGUGAAAUUUGAUGCUCUC
RNAcentral lists this non-coding RNA (29 nucleotides) under Mus musculus (house mouse). The record is from RNAcentral. Lineage: Eukaryota; Metazoa; Chordata; Mammalia; Rodentia; Muridae.